Molecule: non-coding RNA, 4734 nt
Organism: Podarcis lilfordi (Lilford's wall lizard)
Lineage: Eukaryota; Metazoa; Chordata; Lepidosauria; Squamata; Lacertidae
Source: the annotation of a GenBank genome assembly
GCCAUGCACCAGUACUGGAGCUAUGGGAGACAUGAUUAUUUUCAGAAUCGGCCUAUGAGAAAGGAGAGACACAUCUGCCAGCAUCUUGUCAUGUAUGUCAAGAUGCCAUAUACUAAGGCUAUAGUCAGAGGCUCUGAUAUGUUUUUAUUGUGCUGCUUGAUUAUGACAUUUUAAUCAUUUGGUUGGUUAUAGUAGAAAGGUGAGGGUAAAGGACCUCUGGACGGUUAAGUCCAGUCAAAGGCAACUAUGGCGGAAGCCAGAGCACACGGAAACACCGUUUAACCUUCCCGCCACAACUGUACCUUUUUAUCUACUUGCACUGGCAUGCUUUCGAACUGCUAGAUGAUGAUGAUGAUUAGAUUAGCAGAAGCUGGGACAGAGCAACGGAAACUCACCCCCGUCACAUGGAUUUGAAUGGCCAACCUUCCGAUCGGCAAGCCCAAGAGGCUCAGUGGUUUAGACCACAGCGCCACCCAUUCCCCUGAGUUAUAGUAGUAUUGAGGGGGUUUAGUAAUAAAAUUUGUAUUUGUUUCAAAAUUUUGAAGCAUGGGGAAAGUCACCAAGCCAGUGGUGGGCAUGCUGUUGCUCUGACCUUGACCAUCCAAAAAAACAAGUAGCUUUCCUUGAUUUAAAAAGCCUGUUAGGCUAUUACAGUGAGACACAUUUCUGCAUAAAAUGUAGUUUGGGUCUUAAUCUGGAGCAAAGAUGACCGGAACCUGCCGAGCCUGCUUUUGUUCAAGGCCCUGUUUAUACUUGGAUUUGCCAAGCUGUUUGAAACUUGACAGCUACCCUAUUUAGAACUUUAAUAUAAAUAAAACCUGGGCCAUGAGUCAGUUUUGUAGUGUGGAAACUUGAAAGUCUGCAUGUUCUCACACUGGAAUAUAUUACUGUAUCAUUUUGUCAAAAGUCUCUUACAUGCUUAAUGUUUUAAAACAAGCAGUGCCCUGGGGAUAAACAGUGGAUUCUGCCCCAAAUGUUAAUUUCUGGGCAAGUGCUAAAUCUAUACCCAGAGCUCUCAAUUGCAUGAAUAUUGUGCAAAGCUGCUCUUUGAUUUCACAAACUGGCAGUUGUCCAGCUUGCACAUACAAAUGUCAUCCCUCUUCCUGUAAAACUGUAACAGUAUUUCAGUGGAGAUUUACUUCAGCCAGCUUAGAAAACAUAGACACACAUUUGGACACAUCACGCCACGUGGAGGCCAGUGUUCAACUGAAAAACCAAAACACACUUGGCACAUAUGUGGCCAAACUAUAUCCUGCCUUAAUUAGGUUCUGUGUGGCAAAUUUCAUACAACAGUCAGCAUCCAAACAGUCAGCAUCCAAAAUAGACCAAAAAAGGAGGGAGAAAAAUCUCAAUACCUGUAUGCAGUAUAGAAUUUUAGUAGCAAACAAGUCCAAUGAGUUUUCGCCUACAUCAAUUUUAGGCCUUGAUCAGGAGUCAAAAUGCAAAGUUGAAACUAAAGGUUAACUGAAGCAUAAUUUAUAGUGUGCUUCUUCUAAGGCAUACAAAGUAAAGUGAUGGAUGGACAGGGUGUUACAGAAAAUCUCACACUGGUGUAUACACCAUACUCUUAAAGUAUACACCCAAAAAACCAGGGGAACCGUAGUUUACCUCCAUGGAGCUACAAUUCCCAGCACCAUUAACAACCUACGGUUUGCAUGGUUCUUGGGGGGGAUGUGUUUUGAACGUAUAGUGUGCAUGGAAAAUCAAAGAGAGAGAGAUAAAAAGGAGGAGCUGCAUUUCAAAUUGAUACGACAUAUAUAUUAGAUCUGAAAGAACACCCUGUUGCUAUUUGAUGCUUAUGAAUGCAUCUUCACAGCCUUGCGCAGUCUGACAGGUUGCCAUGGAAACAGCAGUGUCAGCAUCCAGCAGUCCAUUUGUAAAUGGACGGCUCCAUGUUCUGUAUCUCUAAAGUUGAGUGUGUGCGUGUGUAGGUGCUGAAAUAAAUUGUUUUAGAUUUAUCAGGAGUUUCACCUGAUAACAAGCAACUGAAGAUAAAACAGCAGUAAAGAAAGAUAAAAUGAUACUCCCCAGAAAAUGUUACUUGGCCCAGAACAAAACACCCCAAACACAGAGCAGAGGCAGCUCAGGACAAUCUGCUGCCUUGGGCAAAGCUCAAGAUGGUGCCUUCUCCUAAGGCACAGACAGAAGCCAAUUUGACUGGUAGUUUAAUCUUCAAUACUGGUAAAAGGACUGCAUCCUGAGGACAGCAGGCUAAUGCAAGGGGUACAGGCCAGGCAACAUGGCACUCACAUGGCACUGUCCCCUCCCUGCACCUCAGCACCUGUCACCUGAGGCAGCUGCCUCCCUCUGCCUCAUCGUAGGGCUGGCCCAGAAGAAAGGUAUUAGUUUGGUGUUAGGAAACACAAUCAGCUGGUUUGAUUUCACUCCUCAAUAUACAGCUUUACAAUGCAGAGAAAUAAUGUUUGGUUUCAUUUCAGUACACACCUGCCAUAUCUCCUUCAAGCCCUACCCAUUCCUCCAUGCAAAUUGAUGCUAGCAUAUCCUUAAAGUCCUUCAGUGAGGGAAGCUGUUAGCCGUCCUAUGCAUUACACAGCAGAAUGAGGCCGUUUUCUGAGGAAUUCCUGACUGUACCACUUCAGGUGGCAGCAGGUGAGUCCCUCUUCCUGAUCUGCUACCAUCCGACUCACCUAGCUGCUCCUCACUUCUGGGCUGGCCUCAUCCUCAAGUGCAGGGCAGGCCCAAUAUAUUUUGGCACCUGAGGCAAACCACCAAAUGCUGCUCUCCGCCUGCCAGGGAAGAAGGGCUUGGUAAAGGCCAACAUCAGGAGCAAAGGGGGAAUAAAGAUCUGCUGCACCACGACCUGCGGUCCCUGUGGAUCCUGCCAUCUGAGGCAGUUGCCUCACCUUGCCUCAUGUGUGGGCCGGUCCAGCUCAAGGGUGCAGCAGCAAAGAAGAAGGCAGGUCUGGCUCUACCGGCAGGCCUCUGCUAAUUGCUUCUCUUUCUGCCUUGUGCUGGACCUACACGGACCUGUUUAACCUUAUUAGAAUGAUAUUAGAUAUGUCUUUCUAAAAUAUCACAGGGCCUACUUGUAAAUUAAAACUGUUUCUUUGUUUUCUCCAUCAAAACAGUUUCCCUGCUGACGGUUGCUGGUUGCUCUGCAGGGCCCUCUGGUGUCACAUUUUAAUAAUGCAUUACGAAGGUUAAAAGUAAGAUGUCAUGUAUCCAUCUACAUUGUGAAAACCGUUGUUGUUGUUUAGUUGUUUAGUCAUGUCCGACUCUUUGUGACCCCAUGGACCAGAGCACGCCAGGCACUCCUGUCUUCCACUGCCUCCCGCAGUUUGGUCAGACUCAUGUUUGUAGCUUCGAGAACACUGUCCAACCAUCUCGUCCUCUGUCGUCCCCUUCUCCUUGUGCCCUCAAUCUUUCCCAACAUCAGGGUCUUUUCCAGGGAGUCUUCUCUUCUCAUGAGGUGGCCAAAGUAUUGGACUCUCAGCUUCACAAUCUGUCCUUCCAGUGAGCACUCAGGGCUAAUCUCCUUAAGAAUGGAUGCAUUUGAUCUUCUUGCAGUCCAUGGGACUCUCAAGAGUCUCCUCCAGCACCAUAAUUCAAAAGCAUCAAUUCUUCGGCGAUCAGCCUUCUUUAUGGUCCAGCUCUCACUUCCAUACAUCACUACCGGGAAAACCAUGGCUUUAACUAUACGGACCUUUGUUGGUAAGGUGAUGUUUCUGCCUUUUUUUUUUUUUUGCCUUUUUUUUUGCUUUUUAAGAUGCUGUCUAGGUGAAAACCGUUACUUAAUGUUUAAAACCAUGAGUGUCGAUCUGCCCUUGGUGCUCCUCCCCUCUCAAAUAGGAGCCUUGUUGUGAAAUGUGAUUGCUAAGAGAUGACUAAGAGGAGCCGGUGAAGAUGCCAGACUAAGGACCUGACCAAACCACAGGCCCAUCUGUCUUCAAGUUUAGUAAACGUACAAACCACUUUUUUAAGAAAACAUUCUUUGCAAAGCAGUGCAUAACAACCAAACCAACCAACAUACGCACAUCUUUAAAAUAAGACCUGCAUUUCAUAAUCAUAUAUAUAAAAAAAAGGUCAGCAGAAAAAUCGAUCAACCCAGCAAAGACUAUAAGCCACUUAAAGUUCCAUCUGCACUCAAGGGAAACUGACUAUAAAUGUGUUAUCUGACUUGAAUGGUUUUGAAUAUAACUUUUUAAUGAAAAGUUUAUAAUUUUUUAUUCUGAUGUUUAUUCUUUGUCUACUUAUGGAUUAAUUAAUUUAGGGCAUAUGCCCCUGUUAUUGCUGGUAAACAAUAUAAUUAUAAUUAUAAUUAUAAUUACAUAGCAUUAUAUGCACAAAUCAGACUUCCCAGUUUUAGUUUUUAAAAGGUGAGCCUCCCCCUCAGUAAUAGGUUUAUUGUAUCAUUUCUAAAGCUUCAGGAAAACCAUGGUAUGUGGGGCCAGCUUAUAUAAUAGAAUCAAGCCCCUCAGUGUUUUUUGGGCCAAUCCAUUUUUUGAAAGAUAACAAGUUUACUUAUGGAACGAAUGGAUGGCAGAUAGAAUUUGUUAACACAAAAUACGUAUGGACUUUUCCAAAUAUAGAAAAGUGUUCACAUUCAGAUACCAAUACAAAUAAAACAAACUGCUUGACAUAUUCCCUAGGCUCUCAUGGUACCCAGUUCAACGGCUGCUGAACUUCUUUUGCAAAGCUUUGCUGCCAGGCAACCGAAAAUUUGAUGAGGCAACGUGAGAAGCUUCAGAAGCAUGAUGUAUAUUAAAGAGUCGG